Molecule: unclassified non-coding RNA, 331 nt
Filed under: soil metagenome
Description: partial contains 5.8S ribosomal RNA, internal transcribed spacer 2, and large subunit ribosomal RNA
Rfam family: 5.8S ribosomal RNA (bases 1-120)
Source: RNAcentral
GAUGAAGAACGUAGCGAAAUGCGAUAAGUAAUGUGAAUUGCAGAAUUCAGUGAAUCAUCGAAUCUUUGAACGCACAUUGCGCCCCCUGGUAUUCCGGGGGGCAUGCCUGUUCGAGCCUCAUUUCACCACUCAAGCCUCGCUUGGUAUUGGGCAACGCGGUCCGCCGCGUGCCUCAAAUCGACCGGCUGGGUCUUCUGUCCCCUAAGCGUUGUGGAAACUAUUCGCUAAAGGGUGUUCGGGAGGCUACGCCGUAAAACAACCCCAUUUCUAAGGUUGACCUCGGAUCAGGUAGGGAUACCCGCUGAACUUAAGCAUAUCAAUAAGCGGAGGA